GAUGAGUGGCGAACGGGUGAGUAACACGUGAGUAACCUGCCCCUGACUUCGGGAUAAGCCCGGGAAACUGGGUCUAAUACCGGAUACGACUGCCGGACGCAUGUCUGGUGGUGGAAAGUUUUUUCGGUUGGGGAUGGGCUCGCGGCCUAUCAGUUUGUUGGUGAGGUAAUGGCUCACCAAGACGACGACGGGUAGCCGGCCUGAGAGGGCGACCGGCCACACUGGGACUGAGACACGGCCCAGACUCCUACGGGAGGCAGCAGUGGGGGAAUAUUGCACAAUGGGGGAAACCCUGAUGCAGCGACGCAGCGUGCGGGAUGACGGCCUUCGGGUUGUAAACCGCUUUCAGCAGGGAAGAAGCGCAAGUGACGGUACCUGCAGAAGAAGUACCGGCUAACUACGUGCCAGCAGCCGCGGUAAUACGUAGGGUACGAGCGUUGUCCGGAAUUAUUGGGCGUAAAGAGCUCGUAGGUGGUUGGUCACGUCUGCUGUGGAAACGCAACGCUUAACGUUGCGCGUGCAGUGGGUACGGGCUGACUAGAGUGCAGUAGGGGAGUCUGGAAUUCCUGGUGUAGCGGUGAAAUGCGCAGAUAUCAGGAGGAACACCGGUGGCGAAGGCGGGACUCUGGGCUGUAACUGACACUGAGGAGCGAAAGCAUGGGGAGCGAACAGGAUUAGAUACCCUGGUAGUCCAUGCCGUAAACGUUGGGCACUAGGUGUGGGGGGCAUUCCACGUUCUCCGCGCCGUAGCUAACGCAUUAAGUGCCCCGCCUGGGGAGUACGGUUCGCAAGGCUAAAACUCAAAGGAAUUGUACGGGGGCCCGCACAAGCGGCGGAGCAUGCGGAUUAAUUCGAUGCAACGCGAAGAACCUUACCAAGGCUUGACAUACACCGGACCGUCCUGGAAACCCAGGUCUUCUUCUUUGAAGCUGGUGUACAGGUGGUGCAUGGUUGUCCGUCCAGCUCGUGUCGUGAGAUGUUGGGUUAAGUCCCGCAACGAGCGCAACCCUCGUUCUAUGUUGCCAGCAUGUGAUGGUGGGAACUCAUAGGAGACUGCCGGGGUCAACUCGGAGGAAGGUGGGGAUGACGUCAAAUCAUCAUGCCCUUUAUGUCUUGGGCUUCACGCAUGCUACAAUGGCUGGUACAGAGAGAGGCGAACCCGUGAGGGCAAGCGAGUCCCUUAAAGCCAGUCUCAGUUCGGAUCGUAGUCUGCAAUUCGGCUACGUGAAGUCGGAGUCGCUAGUAAUCGCA
Molecule: ribosomal RNA, 1251 nt
Filed under: Brevibacterium casei
Lineage: Bacteria; Bacillati; Actinomycetota; Actinomycetes; Micrococcales; Brevibacteriaceae
Description: bacterial SSU rRNA
Rfam family: Bacterial small subunit ribosomal RNA
Source: RNAcentral